GGGCCCGUGGGGUAGCCUGGUAUCCUUUUGGCCUUGGGAGCCAGAGACUCCGGUUCAAAUCCGGGCGGGCCCA
This 73-nucleotide transfer RNA is filed under the name Thermoplasmatales archaeon. RNAcentral's name for it is "tRNA-Pro". It matches the Rfam family "tRNA". Rfam says of the family: Transfer RNA (tRNA) molecules are approximately 80 nucleotides in length. Their secondary structure includes four short double-helical elements and three loops (D, anti-codon, and T loops). Further hydrogen bonds mediate the characteristic L-shaped molecular structure. tRNAs have two regions of fundamental functional importance: the anti-codon, which is responsible for specific mRNA codon recognition, and the 3' end, to which the tRNAs corresponding amino acid is attached (by aminoacyl-tRNA synthetases). tRNAs cope with the degeneracy of the genetic code in two manners: having more than one tRNA (with a specific anti-codon) for a particular amino acid; and 'wobble' base-pairing, i.e. permitting non-standard base-pairing at the 3rd anti-codon position. The record is from RNAcentral. RNAcentral also lists the same sequence under 1 other name. Lineage: Archaea; Methanobacteriati; Thermoplasmatota; Thermoplasmata; Thermoplasmatales.